CCUACGGGAGGCAGCAGUAGGGAAUCUUCCGCAAUGGACGAAAGUCUGACGGAGCAACGCCGCGUGAACGAUGAAGGCCUUCGGGUCGUAAAGUUCUGUUGUUAGGGAAGAACAAGUGCUAGUUGAAUAAGCUGGCACCUUGACGGUACCUAACCAGAAAGCCACGGCUAACUACGUGCCAGCAGCCGCGGUAAUACGUAGGUGGCAAGCGUUGUCCGGAAUUAUUGGGCGUAAAGCGCGCGCAGGCGGUUUCUUAAGUCUGAUGUGAAAGCCCCCGGCUCAACCGGGGAGGGUCAUUGGAAACUGGGAAACUUGAGUGCAGAAGAGGAAAGUGGAAUUCCAAGUGUAGCGGUGAAAUGCGUAGAGAUUUGGAGGAACACCAGUGGCGAAGGCGACUUUCUGGUCUGUAACUGACGCUGAGGCGCGAAAGCGUGGGGAGCAAACAGGAUUAGAUACCCUGGUAGUCCACGCUGUAAACGAUGAGUGCUAAGUGUUAGAGGGUUUCCGCCCUUUAGUGCUGAAGUUAACGCAUUAAGCACUCCGCCUGGGGAGUACGGUCGCGAGACUACAACUACAAGAGUAGUAGCGNGNGAGCGCGACGACGACGACGACGGAGGAG
RNAcentral lists this ribosomal RNA (619 nucleotides) under uncultured bacterium. RNAcentral's name for it is "bacterial SSU rRNA". It matches the Rfam family "Bacterial small subunit ribosomal RNA", at positions 338 to 946 of the family's 1533-position model. The record is from RNAcentral.